AUUAUUGAUUCAUCAAAAACAAGCUUGAAAGGAAAACUUGGAGACCUGGCAUAAAAAACUUUUCACACAAAACCUCAAUAAGAGUCUUCUACCUCCACUGCACAAAAAUCUGGGUUCAAUGAAACAAUUUGUUAAAGCUUUGUCUAAAGAUGGUGAUUGUUUUAAAUAUUUGUGUGAGACAUUUCUUCAUUUAUCAGAAGCAAGUGAGUGAAGAGCAAGGGAAAUUGUUUCAUCAGGACAUAAAAGAGAUGGAGAAGCGAUACCAGGGAUGGUGGUAUCAAAAUGAUGGGUGAUUACUGUUGGUUACUUCAUAGAGAACAACAAAACACAAUUCAUAGGUGAAAAAGCUACGCAAGAAAUUUUACAAAGAAAAGGGAGAGGAAAUAAAAAAAUAUAUAUAAUUUAAGCAUUUUAUAUUAUAAUUUAAGUAAUUGAAUAUGAUUGUAGGCGAAAAUAUAACCAAUUUAUAAAACUAU
This is a long non-coding RNA of Leptinotarsa decemlineata (Colorado potato beetle), 476 nucleotides long. Lineage: Eukaryota; Metazoa; Arthropoda; Insecta; Coleoptera; Chrysomelidae. The record is from RefSeq and is a predicted model, not a curated record.